AUGAUUAGUUCUCUAUCCAUUGCUAGCUGGAAUGUGCGGGGGUUGAAUAAUAGGGCGAGGCAGGCUGCGGUACGCGCCUUACUUGAUCAGCUCUCUUGCUCGAUCGUCUGUCUGCAGGAAUCAAAGCUUGACCAGGCUGCUGAUGCUGACAUCACUGAAAUAGCCGGGCCUGUGUUUGAUAAGCAUGUCAUGCUUCCAGCCGACGUCACUCGUGGUGGAGUGCUGCUCUGUUGGCGCUCG
RNAcentral lists this ribosomal RNA (240 nucleotides) under Triticum aestivum (bread wheat). Its description in RNAcentral is "partial small subunit ribosomal RNA". Lineage: Eukaryota; Viridiplantae; Streptophyta; Magnoliopsida; Poales; Poaceae. The record is from RNAcentral.